This 203-nucleotide unclassified non-coding RNA is filed under the name Hevea brasiliensis (rubber tree). The record is from RNAcentral. Lineage: Eukaryota; Viridiplantae; Streptophyta; Magnoliopsida; Malpighiales; Euphorbiaceae.
GGAGCACUAUACAUAGUGACAGCAUUUCCGGUGAUAAUUGGUAUCUCAGUAGUUCUAAUACUUUUCUACAAUUCUCUCCAAUAGUGCUUCUUCUUCUAUGUGGCUGAUGAUUGCCGGCUGUGGUGGUGGUGGUGGUUUCUUACCUAUCACGAGAGUUUGUCAUGUAUGCAUGACAUUUAUUAAAUGUCGAACCACGUCUUUCA